AAAAUCCAUAGAUAACAAUUCAAAUCUUAAUAUUCAAUAGCGAUUUUGAAUGAUAGUCUUGGCGUACAUUACUAUUGAGUGAGAUUCAUUUUAGAUUUCUUUAUUAUGUACACUCUCCCGGUUUUUUAUUUUUUGCUUAGCUGAAAAAUGUGGUUUUUUCGAUCACGCGACGUGUCACAAUAACAUUAUAAUAACAAUAUGUCUGUGGGAAAAAAUACUUACUCAAACUCCCCGUACACGUCGUCGAAUCGUAAUCUUUUCCGCGGUCCGCGAUAAAAUAUAAUCACCCUAUAUAUAAUUUUAUACGACGCAUGUUCUCGGCUGUCUAUAUAAAAUAAAGGGAGGGUACGCCACUGGCGCGAAAAUGUAUAUACAUAUAAUACCAAGGUCGGAAAUUUGCACGGUCAUCUUUAUGCGCCGUAACAACAAAACGCGAACGUCUUUUUAUUUUUCUUU
Non-coding RNA from Cinara cedri, 456 nucleotides. The record is from the annotation of a GenBank genome assembly. NCBI's taxonomy places the organism in Eukaryota, Metazoa, Arthropoda, Insecta, Hemiptera, Aphididae.